Molecule: ribosomal RNA, 253 nt
Filed under: uncultured bacterium
Lineage: Bacteria
Description: partial 16S ribosomal RNA
Rfam family: Bacterial small subunit ribosomal RNA
Source: RNAcentral
UACAUGGGGUGCAAACGUUGCUCGGAAUCAUUGGGCGUAAAGCGCGCGUAGGCGGUUACUUAAGUUGGAUGUGAAAGCCCUCGGCUUAACUGAGGAAGUGCAUCCAAAACUGAGUAGCUAGAGUACGAAAGAGGGUCGCGGAAUUCCCGGUGUAGCGGUGGAAUGCGUAGAGAUCCGGAGGAAGACCGGUGGCGAAGGCGGUCUGCUGGGCAGUUUCUGACACUGAUGCGCGACAGCGUGGGGAGCAAACAGG